RNA transcript from Salvia splendens (bonfire salvia), 1059 nucleotides. RefSeq lists it as uncharacterized. NCBI's taxonomy places the organism in Eukaryota, Viridiplantae, Streptophyta, Magnoliopsida, Lamiales, Lamiaceae. The transcript is spliced from 4 exons. The record is from RefSeq and is a predicted model, not a curated record.
UGGAGUAUGAAAUACCCAACUCCUACUCUCGCCUGCGCCUCCCUCCGCCGCCGCCUCUUCCUCCUCCUCUCCCAGCGCCGCCGCCCUCUACUGCCCAGCUCUCCUCAAAUUGAAAUUGAAAUCGGGACCGGAUACCCGAGUCGGGUACCCGGGUAUCCGAAAUCAAAAUCGGAUCGGGUAUCGUCUACUUAGAUUUGGGGAAAUUCGACAGGCCUUAAUCACUCUUCUCUCCCACUAACCCUCGGCCACCUCCGGUCUAGCUGUAUCCGCCUCCGGCAACCUCUCCGGCGAAAUUCACGAAGAAACUUGUGGUUUCUAGCUUUGUUUAUGGUUGAAUUUGAGAUUAUCCCCUGUUUUGUGCGGUGCAUCAUGUGAUAAACUGCACACAGAAGUUUACGGAUUCAUUGUUAUUUGAUAUGCCAAACGGCGUCUCCCACCCCCUGCGUAUGGUAGCUUCAGUUGCUGCUUCGCUUCUUGGUGGAGUUUUCGCUGCUGGUUUUCUGUCCUCUUCAGUCUUCGAACGCUACACUUCAUUUAAGAAGGUUGCUUUUGCAGAAAAAAUAUGGGCGGCCGUGUCGGAGCUGUAAAGCACUUGGCUACUACGCGUGUAAGACGUGUAAAGGGUGUGGCACUAUAAAUUGGUCUCCACUCUAUGAUCCAAUCUUCAUAAACCCUUGUGUCUGUCCAACCUGUGAUGGAUUCAAGGUCCAACGCUGUCUUAACUGCUUGGGAUACGGCUCUGCAUAAGUUUUCAAUAUCAUGGUGCUAGUAAGAUUGGAUCUUCUCAAUCUUGUUGAAAUCGGAAUUGACUGUUUUUGCUAAUCAGAAGCCACACUUACACACACACCACGAGCUAGGAAUUCGUCAUGUUUACCUUCGAAAUGUUUACAACAUGGAGUAGAUGCUUAGGUAAAUGUUCACCUGGAACCAUGAAACAUGGCUGUUAUAAUCAUAUCAAUAACCUUAGAUAGCUAGUGAAUUUUUGCAUAUGUUGUUAAAGAUGAACCAUUGUGGUUUUGCUGUGAUUUUUGGUUAUGAAUAUGUUCACAUUGAUAGAAA